This 327-nucleotide long non-coding RNA is filed under the name Androctonus crassicauda. Lineage: Eukaryota; Metazoa; Arthropoda; Arachnida; Scorpiones; Buthidae. The record is from RNAcentral.
AAAUUAUUGCAGAACACCAAAAUUAAUAAAGUUUAUAUAAGGUUAAAAUUAGCAAUAAAAAUAUGUAUGCAUUUCUUAACAUAUGUUUUAUUAAAAUUUAUAUGUUACAUAUAUUUCAUAAUUUCAAUAAACAUUUAUGAAAAGUUUGUGGAAGAUCAGUGUUCUGCAGAAAACCUGUUAAGAACCACUGAGUUAAAGAGUGGGAUUCAAAGAGCCAGGUCCAGAUUCUUCUUUAAAAAAUCAGAUGUUGGAUUCAAAAUUGACUCUAAAUUCUUCAAGAGGAAAUGCAAUACACUUCCUUUAUCUGAUUCAAAUGGCUGACUUGUC